AAUGAAGAGCCUGAGGAAAGGAUUAUUUUGAUAGAAUAAAAAACGUAACAAAAAUUACCUUCAUUA
This 66-nucleotide transfer RNA is filed under the name Pteroptyx tener. RNAcentral describes it as "tRNA-Ile". The record is from RNAcentral. Lineage: Eukaryota; Metazoa; Arthropoda; Insecta; Coleoptera; Lampyridae.